Small nucleolar RNA from Diorhabda sublineata, 78 nucleotides. Lineage: Eukaryota; Metazoa; Arthropoda; Insecta; Coleoptera; Chrysomelidae. The record is from RefSeq and is a predicted model, not a curated record.
AUUUAAUGAUGAUUUUCAAACUCACACCAUCUUUCGGCUGAAGAAAGUUUUGAUGAUAGUUUUAAGCUGAUAUUCACA